ACCCGCUGAACUUAAGCAUAUCAAUAAGCGGAGGAAAAGAAACCAACAGGGAUUACCUCAGUAACGGCGAGUGAAGCGGUAACAGCUCAAAUUUGAAAUCUGGGUCUUUCAGGCUCCGAGUUGUAAUUUGUAGAAGAUGCUUCGGGUGCGGCUCCGGUCUAAGUUCCUUGGAACAGGACGUCAUAGAGGGUGAGAAUCCCGUAUGUGAUCGGUUGCUUGCGCCCAUGUGAAGCUCUUUCGACGAGUCGAGUUGUUUGGGAAUGCAGCUCAAAAUGGGUGGUAAAUUUCAUCUAAAGCUAAAUAUUGGCCAGAGACCGAUAGCGCACAAGUAGAGUGAUCGAAAGAUGAAAAGCACUUUGGAAAGAGAGUUAAACAGUACGUGAAAUUGUUGAAAGGGAAGCGCUUGCAACCAGACUUGCGCGUUGCCGAUCAUCCGGGGUUCUCCCCGGUGCACUCGGCCUCGCUCAGGCCAGCAUCGGUUUCGGUGGUGGGAUAAAGGCCUUGGGAAUGUGGCUCCUCUCGGGGAGUGUUAUAGCCCUCGGUGCAAUGCCGCCUACCGGGACCGAGGACCGCGCUUCGGCUAGGAUGCUGGCGUAAUGGUUGUAAGCGACCCGUCUUGAAACACGGACCAAGGAGUCUAACAUCUAUGCGAGUGUUUGGGUGUCAAACCCAUACGCGUAAUGAAAGUGAACGGAGGUGAGAACCCUUAAGGGUGCAUCAUCGACCGAUCCUGAUGUCUUCGGAUGGAUUUGAGUAAGAGCAUAGCUGUUGGGACCCGAAAGAUGGUGAACUAUGCCUGAAUAGGGUGAAGCCAGAGGAAACUCUGGUGGAGGCUCGCAGCGGUUCUGACGUGCAAAUCGAUCGUCAAA
This 869-nucleotide ribosomal RNA is filed under the name fungal sp. mh1111.62. Its description in RNAcentral is "eukaryotic LSU rRNA". It matches the Rfam family "Eukaryotic large subunit ribosomal RNA", at positions 23 to 909 of the family's 3401-position model. The record is from RNAcentral. Lineage: Eukaryota; Fungi.